AUUGAACGCUGGCGGCAUGCCUUACACAUGCCAGUCGAACGGCAGCACGGGUGCUUGCCCCUGGUGGCGAGUGGCGAACGGGUGAGUAAUACAUCGGAACAUGUCCUGUAGUGGGGGAUAGCCCGGCGAAAGCCGGAUUAAUACCGCAUACGAUCUACGGAUGAAAGCGGGGGACCUUCGGGCCUCGCGCUAUAGGGUUGGCCGAUAGCUGAUUAGCUAGUUGGUGGGGUAAAGGCCUACCAAGGCGACGAUCAGUAGCUGGUCUGAGAGGACGACCAGCCACACUGGGACUGAGACACGGCCCAGACUCCUACGGGAGGCAGCAGUGGGGAAUUUUGGACAAUGGGCGAAAGCCUGAUCCAGCAAUGCCGCGUGUGUGAAGAAGGCCUUCGGGUUGUAAAGCACUUUUGUCCGGAAAGAAAUCCUUGGCUCUAAUACAGUCGGGGGAUGACGGUACCGGAAGAAUAAGCACCGGCUAACUACGUG
Molecule: ribosomal RNA, 486 nt
Filed under: uncultured bacterium
Lineage: Bacteria
Description: partial 16S ribosomal RNA
Rfam family: Bacterial small subunit ribosomal RNA
Source: RNAcentral